Pteropus alecto (black flying fox) is the source of this 389-nucleotide long non-coding RNA. RefSeq lists it as uncharacterized. The record is from RefSeq and is a predicted model, not a curated record. The transcript has 2 exons. NCBI's taxonomy places the organism in Eukaryota, Metazoa, Chordata, Mammalia, Chiroptera, Pteropodidae.
GAUGGAGUUUUACUCCCAAAGGAAUUUUCUCGUCUGGAUGGAGGGGAAAGAAGGGGGCGGGGAGGGCUGCUUGGCGAACGACGUUGACGCCACUAUGGGUCUUGGGACUGGGGGUUAGACUCUGAGUUGGAAGCACUCAGCACAGUCGUUCCUAACUUCGGGGUGCAUCAAAAGUGCCUAGGAGAUUGCUGAAAGUGUAAUGUUGGGGGGCCUCAUCCCCAAGGCAGUUGGGGUGGUUUGGGGAAGGAGGUGUCCUCCUACGUGUUUAACGCGCUGUCUUUCAGCUGCGACUGAUUAAGAUAAUUACCACGUAGAGAAUUAUUGGUCUAGCAUAAAGGUGCUCAAAAUAGAAUCUUAAAACAGAAUUAAAUUGCAAUCUAUGCCCUUGA